This 288-nucleotide unclassified non-coding RNA is filed under the name Hevea brasiliensis (rubber tree). Lineage: Eukaryota; Viridiplantae; Streptophyta; Magnoliopsida; Malpighiales; Euphorbiaceae. The record is from RNAcentral.
AAACUUUCGUCAUCAUCAAAUGGACUUGAAGAACCAACAUUCCAAUAGAAAUCUAAAACAAAUUAAAAUAUGCAAAAAUAUAUGGACAGAAACUUCAAGUAUCCAAAAAUAUAUGAACAGAAGAUAAGUUUACUACAAGUGCGGGUUACUUAUCCUAUAGACAGACGCACCCCAUAAAUAUCUUAAAAACUAUCCUUUGCUUGACAAAUGAUGUGUAAGGCUUCUGCAUCAUUUGCCAUCGCUGGAAUCUUUAAUGACUGCCGGAUUUCUGUACUUGAAGUGCGAAGG